Vicia villosa (hairy vetch) is the source of this 2262-nucleotide long non-coding RNA. RefSeq lists it as uncharacterized. The transcript has 2 exons. The record is from RefSeq and is a predicted model, not a curated record. Lineage: Eukaryota; Viridiplantae; Streptophyta; Magnoliopsida; Fabales; Fabaceae.
UAUUUUUAUACUUUGGUGGCGGCAAAGAAAUUGCACAAUUGAUUAUUGAUAAUAAAAUUGCUUUGAUUUUGCUCUUAUUUUAUUUCUUUCUGAAAAUCUAUGAUGAUGUUUUGCUUGGCAUAAUUUUCUCAAAUAGUUUUCAAAUAUUAGCUGAAAUUGUAGUAACCCCUAUUCCUGUAUAUGAUUUUGAAAAUUUUAUAGUGGCCAUGAGAACAAAAGGCAAUGGUUACUAAUAAGUGAUAAUAGUAAGUUGAAAACUGAAGUUAAUGAUUGCAUUAAAGUUAAGAGUGAGACUGUCCGCAAAGUCACGCCACUGUCCGCAAAGUCACGCCGAACCUUAUCUACUAUCUAUCUACUAUCUACUAUCUACUAUCUACUAUCUACUAUCUACUAUCUACCAAUUACUAAUCAAUUGACCAAACUACCAAAAAUAUCCUUUUCUAAAAAAAACUACACUACUAAAAGGACAUUUUAGUAACUAACAAAUUAACACUACAACUUUUCUCCUUCCCAAUAACUAUUUGACACUUGGCAAUUAAAAUGUUUUCUCCAUUUCAAAUGAACCUACACAUUUUUACACUCUUUUCUCUCUCUCAUUUUAAAUUUCUUUUCCUUCGUCUCUGUCUUUCUCUCCCCUUCUCUCCUCUCUCUCCUCAAACCCUAAAAAUGUUUGGAAAACAAAAGUCACAGACUCCCAUCCCUAAAACCCUACAAAGCUGCCCUGUUUUCACCCACCACCACCUCAAAUGGUAGAACCAAAUCUAUAUUUGUUCUUUUUAUCUCACGGCCUUUAUAACAUGAAGCGGUUGGAUUUUUGUUUCGAGUGCUCGCCGCCGACCACCGUUUCCCUUUCUCCGAUCGUCACAACACAUACCAAGUUCUCAUUUUGUAACCUUUAUGGUUUUAAUUAUUUUUUGAUUCAAACAUCUAAAUCUUUAAAACACUUUCUGGUUUAAUAUUGGUUUAGAAGAAGCAACAAAUUUUACAGCCGGGUUUUUGCAAUUUUAACUAAGAAGUUGUUUUUAUUGUAUUGUGUAUUUAAAGGAUUUUUUGUUUUAGAUGUGUUUGUUUUACAAUUUUCUCCAUUUUGCUACUUAAAGAUUUUUCGAAACCAAACCCUCUAAAUGUGUAUGUAUAUAUGUAAAUGUGUAGGUAUUUUCUGGUUUAAACAUCUAUAUCUUUGUCUAUGUAUUUGGUUUAAACAUCCAUCUACAUACUAAUACCCUGCUUAAAUAGCAGAAUGCAUAUAUGCUUGGAAACCAUACCCUCCAGAAUGCAUAAAUGUCAUACACUUAUCUAUGUAUUUGGUUAAAACAUUACUUUGUUGUACCUUUGAUUCCAUUCAUUUGUAUUCUUACUUGGUUUUACAUAUUUUCUCCAUUUUACUACUUCAAAGGAUUUUUGAAACCAUAUGUAAAUGUCUAUGUCUUCUAUGGUUUAAACAUCUAGAUCCUUGUGUACAUACAUAUGUAAAUGUGUAUGUCAUUUAUGGUUUAGACUUUGUAAGUAUCAUAAACUAAGAUUAUACUUUGUCCUGCAGUACAAGUUAAUUUCCCAUCUAUAACUUCAAGUUUCAAAACUGAUAAGAGGUUGAUUCUUUGGUCAGAUCCAGUUCGGCAUGGAGUUGGAUUAGUGAAUCGGUCGAUAUUUCAAAUGCUGGUGCAUUCUCAAAAGUCCAACUACUUGAGCAAAUAAUCACAUCAACUGAUAGAGGGUUGCAGUAUGUGUGAAUUGAACCGUAGACGCUCCAGAAUUUGAAUGGUGGCAGCUAGGACUAACUGAAUUGGAUGUGGUGUAGCUAAAGUGUAAUGGUGUGUGCAGGCCUGUUUCAUGUUGAUGAGGCUAUUUGUUUGGAACUUUAUGUUGGUGACAGUUGAACUGAUAUGAAUGUUUAGUUUCUUAUUGUUUGUUAGCUUGAAUUGGUUGAUUAGAAAAUGGAUAACUGGAUGUUGGUAAAGCUGCUAGGAAAUUGGAGCAUGUUAGUGAUGUUGAAUUCUUUUAUUUUUUUGGUGUUUGAUACGAAACCGAUCUGUGCCAAUCGAUUGGCUUGGUCCCCAUUUACAAAAGUGUAGUUCUGUUAUGAAUUGUUGAGGAUUGGUUUUGGGUCGUUAUGGGGGUGAAUGUAUAUGCUGGUCAAAUUUUUGUUGUUGUAUGUGGAUGAUGUCAGUUUGGUUUUUUUGUAUUGGGUCUGAAUUGGUUUGGAGAUGUGUUUGGAAUGAUAAUCAAAUGAAAGGCUACUGCAAGUCAGUAAUUAUGUGUUAA